This is a non-coding RNA of Schistocerca nitens (vagrant locust), 76 nucleotides long. The record is from the annotation of a RefSeq genome assembly. NCBI's taxonomy places the organism in Eukaryota, Metazoa, Arthropoda, Insecta, Orthoptera, Acrididae.
GUCCGGGUAGCGCAGUGGUUAACGGAACAGCCUAGUAAGCAGGAGGUCCCGGGUUCGAAUCCCGGUCCGGCGCACA